Sitophilus oryzae (rice weevil) is the source of this 567-nucleotide long non-coding RNA. RefSeq lists it as uncharacterized. The record is from RefSeq and is a predicted model, not a curated record. The transcript is spliced from 2 exons. NCBI's taxonomy places the organism in Eukaryota, Metazoa, Arthropoda, Insecta, Coleoptera, Curculionidae.
UCAUUUUCAUGUUCAUCGUCUUUGAAUUGACAUGAGGAUAUCUAUGGAAAAGUAACUAAUCUGAAAGUAAGCCAACAUAUCGUUUGUCCUUUGUGUGCUAAAGAAAAGAUUUUCUUUUCGCAUCAUGAGGAAGUAUUACAUCAAUUAAAAAAUGUUAGGAAGUUGAUUACUUGUCAUGGAAAAGUAUACCAAUGGAAAUUAUUUGUUAAAGAAGUAUAAUUCUAAGGGUUUUAAGAAUAAAUUGGUUGAACCCAAAAUCUGGAGGAAGUACCUAUAUCCAUACACAGAAUAUGCCCAUUAAAAAUACUAGUCCAAAUUUGCUUUAAUGGUAGACAAUUAUUCAAUACAAAUUAACUUUUUAAGUGACUGAAAUAUUAAAUAGUUUAGAAUAUGGUAUAACAAUGUAAAAAAAUAUUAUUUUCAGGAACGAUUAGGGCCCGAUAUAUUUGAAACUCAUGUUGGACAUAGUAUUGAGUUGGGUAGAAUAUUAUUCUACGUUAAGUGAGGGUAUCAGAUACCUAUUAUUGUACUGUAUUUUAAUAUAUACAUUAGAAUUGUUGGUUUUUU